Molecule: non-coding RNA, 23 nt
Filed under: Cricetulus griseus (Chinese hamster)
Lineage: Eukaryota; Metazoa; Chordata; Mammalia; Rodentia; Cricetidae
Source: RNAcentral
UCUGGUGCUGGAGAGGUGGCUUG